ACUACACCAUGCUUUCCAUACAUAGGUUUGGUCUUGACCUAAAUUUUCCUUAUAAAAAAAUAAGGACUAGAAGGCACUUACGGGAUUAUGGCUCAUGGGGAUUAAAGAGGAGGAGAUCUGGACAGACCCGAGGGACCUGUGGGACUCUCCUCCCUAAAACUAUAACCCAAACUACUGGUAGCUCUCCAGACACUUGGAGUGAGUCAGACUGCCACCCAAAAUCUGACUCUGGAGUAUAGACUUAGAUAAUUCCCAAACCUUGGUUCAGAGUAUACCCUGCCCUUAGUGCUGCUUUUGAGAAGUUUUAGAGACUUUUAUUCAUUCUCUUCCCCCUCUUAAUCCUAGGGGUUAACUACAGAAAUAUUGUUACAAUUAUUACCUGUCUUCCACAGGCACUGAUUUUUCUUGACUUUUGGAGGCAGAGAGGGGCCCAAGGAGAGAUCCCCUCAUGCGGUGAUUCUGGAAUACUAGGGCCUGGGACCUGGGAAAAGCCUGAGAAGAAGCCGAAAACAUCCUCUGAGCACUUCACACCCAAGAUCGUGCCCUUUGACCUUCUACCUGAGACUGUGCCCUUUGACCUGUUGCCUGAGACUAUGCCUGAGCAUCCACCCUUUGACCUGGCACCCAGGACAGUGCCCUAUUACCCACAGUCUGGGUCCCCGACUAACCCUGAGGAGCUGACAGAAGCAGGGGGUAUUUAAAGUGUCUGGGAUCACAUGGUACCCUGAUCACGGAGAGGCAUCUUCCCCUUAAGGGCUCAGCGGUGGUCAAGAUAGAAAGGGACAACAUGGGCCCUGACCAGGACCCAUCACAAGUGAUCGUGUGCAGUGAAAAUUCGUAGUGUAGCAAGCUAUGGGCAAAAAAGGGGAGGUAGAGGGCUGUGUGUGUGUGUGUGUGUGUGUGCGUGUGUGUGUGUGUGUGUGUGUGUGUGUGUGUGUAGUUGAGGUGUUCUACCCUCCUGUUUUGGGAUUGAAGGGAAGAAGGGUCUAUUCCAUCUUCCAAUUUUAGGAUUUUAGCAGGCAUCCUCAAAGCAAACUCCAUGUCUGAGCUGCAACCUCCCCCCCUCCCCCAAUCCCUAGUUCAUGGAACUUGACUGUUAAAGAAUGAGCCUAUGGCUCCCAGUUCUGCACAGAAUACUCCCUCAGCUCCUUCGCUGCCUUUCCUUCCUAGGAAAUACUCUAGCCAAAAGCAGCCAGGGGUGUCUGAGGGGAGUAGGAGGAGCAUUAUCUGGAGACCUCCCCCAAAAGGUUCCACACCUCCUUUUCCAGCUGAGGGAAAAAUAUAUGCAUUUUUUUUCCACUUAAAAAAAAUAUAUUUUUUCAAAGAGAUUCUUUGUGCUUGCCAGAUCCUCCCCUAGGCAGGGUGCCCAAGAGCUGCCAACCCAAGAGAAACCCGCAGAAGGAAGAUGAUACAGUGGCCCAGUAGGGUUUUAGCCUCCUUUUCCCUCCAGGGUACGGAGGGUUAUCUUCUAGGGUUAAUGUCUGUAACACCUUUGACUUAUCCACCAAGAAUUGAAGUCCUAGAGAUUUUGUUUUGUUUGUCACCCUUUCCCCUAACUCUUCCACAUGCAUACGUUCAGCUUCACAGUCUUUAAACCUUCCUUCAUCUUAUACUCUAACAGAUACCUCACAGAUUUGAUAAGCUUCUUCCCAAAGUGUUCUCUGGACGUUACAGGGAAGAAAGAGGGUGGAGACUGCCUAACCUCAGAAGCUCAUAUUUAGGGCCUCAUGAUAGUUGUAUUUUCUUUUCCCUGAAUUUUCUUCAUUCCACAACAGGGAUUCUCAUACAAAAAUGGGAGCUCUUAAAGGAAGGGGCUUGGGGGCUGUGGUAUCCCAUCAGGUGGUUCUUCUGACUUAUGGGUCAGAAUUAACAGAGGCAAGACCCUUCAUCUCUGUCUGACACAGGGUUGGCAGGGAGCCCUUGUGGAUGUUGGUGAGGGUGAGGGGCAGAACUGUGUGUGCAUAUGCUCAGACGUGGACAUUAAAAGUAAUUCUGGAAACCAA
Molecule: long non-coding RNA, 2003 nt
Organism: Vombatus ursinus (common wombat)
Lineage: Eukaryota; Metazoa; Chordata; Mammalia; Diprotodontia; Vombatidae
Exons: 2
Source: RefSeq, a predicted model, not a curated record